UAGAAAAAUAUAACUUCUCUCUCUCUCUCUCUCUCUCUCUCUCUCUCUCUCUCUUUCUUCUCCUUUUUAAAAAUUGAUUCAAUAAUAUAGCCAUGGAUGCCAAUGGGGUUCUUUCCUUUUCAGAUGAUUUGGUGUUUAAGAAGAAGAAAGAUGAGGUUUUGAACAAUAAUAAUGAUAAUGGCUGCUCUCAUCUGCAAGUUCUUGAAGCUGAACAUCAAAAAGAUGAAGAAGAUGAAGAAGAAGAAGAAGAAGAAGAAGAAGAUAACUCCAUUAUAAUUAAUGGUGACGAUCCUCUCGAUCAUCCAACCAUUCCUGGUUGGUUUUGUGAGCACUGCCCUCAAUGGCCAGGUCAAGCACACUUCUUAAAGGUGGAUAAAGUUUUGUUUCAAGGAAAGUCUGCGUAUCAAGCCAUGUUGGUCUUCCAGUCAUCAGCAUAUGGAAAGGUGUUUGUGUUGGAUGGAGCACUCCAACUCACUGAGAAAGAUGAAUGUGCUUACCAAGAAAUGAUUACCCACCUUCCUCUUUGCUCUAUUCCUAACCCUAAAAAGGUUUUGGUGAUCGGGGGAGGAGAUGGUGGCAUUCUAAGAGAGAUUUCUAGGCAUUCUUCCAUCGAACAAAUUGAUAUUUGUGAAAUAGACACCAUGCUCAUUGAUGUAUACAAGAAGUACUUUCCAGAAAUUGCAGUUGGAUACAAAGAUUAUCGAGUGAAUCUUCAUAUAAUAGAUGGAAGUGCUUUUUUGAGUUCUGUUCCACCAGGAAGCUACGAUGCAAUCAUAGUCGAUGCUUUUGAUCCGAUAAAGCCCGAUGACGAGGUAGUGAGAAGUAAGUUGUUUGAGAACGUGGCAAAAGCACUUAAAGAAGGAGGAGUACUUUGUAUUCAAGCAGAAAGCCUUUGGUUUCCUUCUCUUGACAUUCAAAUUUUGAUCUCAAAAUGCAAACAAGUUUUCAAAGGCUCAGUUCAAUAUGCUUGGACCAUUGUUCCUGCUUAUCCUAGGACCAAAAGAUGUUGACUUCAAAAAUCCAAUCAAUCCCAUUGAUUCGAACAAGAACUUUGGAGUUGCAACCCAACCGUUGAAGUUUUACAACUCAGAGGUGCAUUCAGCAGCGUUUUGUUUGCCAUCAUUUGCAAAGAAAGCAAAAGGAUUAAGAAGCAAUAACUAAAAAAGAAGAAGAAGGGAUAAAAAUGAUAUAUAUUAGAUUGAGAUUUUUCUUUCUUUCUUCUUUUUUUGUGCGCAACCACACAACUUAGAAAGAAACAUUUCUCCAAUAUCACAAAUCCUUUUCAAUUUCCCACUUUUUCCUUUUAUCAUCAAUUUCUUUGUUCUCUACACACUUAUAUAUUAUAUGGUUCUCUCCAUUUGAUAUAUAUAUAUAUAUAAAUUGAGGUUGGCUUUGUUGUA
Molecule: RNA transcript, 1400 nt
Organism: Cucumis melo (muskmelon)
Lineage: Eukaryota; Viridiplantae; Streptophyta; Magnoliopsida; Cucurbitales; Cucurbitaceae
Gene name: spermidine synthase 2-like
Exons: 9
Source: RefSeq, a predicted model, not a curated record